GAAUUAGCAAUGCCAAGAGAG
This 21-nucleotide non-coding RNA is filed under the name Rattus norvegicus (Norway rat). Lineage: Eukaryota; Metazoa; Chordata; Mammalia; Rodentia; Muridae. The record is from RNAcentral.